GAUGAACGCUAGCGGGAGGCCUAACACAUGCAAGCCGAGCGGUAUUGUUUCUUCGGAAAUGAGAGAGCGGCGUACGGGUGCGUAACACGUGUGCAACCUGCCUUUAUCUGGGGGAUAGCCUUUCGAAAGGAAGAUUAAUACUCCAUAAUAUAUUGAACGGCAUCGUUUAAUAUUGAAAGCUCCGGCGGAUAGAGAUGGGCACGCGCAAGAUUAGCUAGUUGGUGAGGUAACGGCUCACCAAGGCGAUGAUCUUUAGGGGGCCUGAGAGGGUGAUCCCCCACAAUGGUAGGAGGACAGGCACCAGUCGCAUAGGGGCGGCGGCAGUAGGGAAUAUGGGGGAAGGGGUGGGGACUUAAACACACCUCGCGGGGUGAGGAAGCACUGCCGUGGGGGUUGUAAAGUUGUUUUUAAGAAGGAAAACCCCCCCCUGGAGGGGGGAGCAGAAGGUAAUAAACGAAAGAGCCCCGGCAAACCCGGUG
RNAcentral lists this ribosomal RNA (479 nucleotides) under uncultured bacterium. RNAcentral describes it as "partial 16S ribosomal RNA". It matches the Rfam family "Bacterial small subunit ribosomal RNA", at positions 28 to 507 of the family's 1533-position model. The record is from RNAcentral.